RNAcentral lists this ribosomal RNA (246 nucleotides) under uncultured Eubacteriales bacterium. RNAcentral's name for it is "uncultured Clostridiales bacterium partial 16S ribosomal RNA". It matches the Rfam family "Bacterial small subunit ribosomal RNA", at positions 88 to 334 of the family's 1533-position model. Lineage: Bacteria; Bacillati; Bacillota; Clostridia; Eubacteriales. The record is from RNAcentral.
UGGAUUAGCGGCGGACGGGUGAGUAACACGUGAGUAACCUGCCUUAGACAUUGGGAUAGCCUCGGGAAACCGGGAUUAAUACCAAAUAGAAUCAUAAUGACACAUGUCAUAACGAUCAAAACUACGGUGGUCUAAGAUGGACUCGCGUCCAAUUAGCUAGUUGGUAGAGUAAAAGCCUACCAAGGCGACGAUGGGUAGCCGGCCUGAGAGGGUGAACGGCCACAUUGGAACUGAGAAACGGUCCAA